CAAAUAUUAUAAAAGAUAUAUGUCACUGAGGAGUUAACAAACAUAUUUCAAUUUUAAUGCCAAAAAAUAAACAUUUUUGAACCAAAAGGAGGUAAAUACGAUUUUUGUUUGAUGUGUUUGAGAUUUUGAUUGUCCAAUUUGAUUAGGACUUGUGCUUUGUCCUUAUCUUUCGAUGCUGUGUCUCUUUACUAGACCAGACCAAUUUGUAUUGGACUAUGGCCAAUGUCAGGCGAUCGUGGGA
This 241-nucleotide long non-coding RNA is filed under the name Mytilus galloprovincialis (Mediterranean mussel). Lineage: Eukaryota; Metazoa; Mollusca; Bivalvia; Mytilida; Mytilidae. The record is from RNAcentral.